Molecule: ribosomal RNA, 412 nt
Filed under: uncultured beta proteobacterium
Lineage: Bacteria; Pseudomonadati; Pseudomonadota; Betaproteobacteria
Description: bacterial SSU rRNA
Rfam family: Bacterial small subunit ribosomal RNA
Source: RNAcentral
GAGUUUGAUCCUGGCUCAGAUUGAACGCUGGCGGGAUGCCUUACACAUGCAAGUCGAACGGCAGCGCGGACUUCGGUCUGGCGGCGAGUGGCGAACGGGUGAGUAAAGUAUCGGAACGUGCCCAGUAGCGGGGGAUAACUACGCGAAAGCGUAGCUAAUACCGCAUACGCCCUGAGGGGGAAAGCGGGGGAUCUUCGGACCUCGCACUAUUGGAGCGGCCGAUAUCGGAUUAGCUAGUUGGUGGGGUAACGGCUCACCAAGGCGACGAUCCGUAGCUGGUUUGAGGGGACGACCAGCCACACUGGGACUGAGACACGGCCCAGACUCCUACGGGAGGCAGCAGUGGGGAAUUUUGGACAAUGGGGGCAACCCUGAUCCAGCCAUCCCGCGUGUGCGAUGAAGGCCUUCGGUU